This 602-nucleotide long non-coding RNA is filed under the name Equus caballus (horse). Its description in RNAcentral is "lncRNA (ENSECAG00000052751.1)". Lineage: Eukaryota; Metazoa; Chordata; Mammalia; Perissodactyla; Equidae. The record is from RNAcentral.
GCCGGUUCCUGCAGCGCGGUCAGCCUGCGCUCCCGGCACGGUUCCCUCUCCCGCUCACAACGCACACGGCCUCUCAAAUCGCCGGCUCCGGGCGCAGAGAUGCUCUGGGACAAGUCGGGGAAGGGCAGCUAAAGGAGAGAGCGCGGAGCUGGUUCAGCGCUGGCCCCUAUGUGUUGCUGUUGAUCUGAUCAUCGAGGCUUGGGACAAAGGACACAGGAACAGGGAAGUUUUGCCAUGAGCUAACAUCUGUGUCAAUCUUCCUCUAUUUUGUAUGUGGGUCGCUGCCACAGCACUGCUGCUGAUGAGUGGUAUGCGUCCACACCUGGGAACUGGACCUGGGCUGCCGAAGUGGAGUAUGCUGAACUUAACCACUAGGCCAUGGGGCUGGCCCCUAAUAAUAUCUCUUAGUCUCAUCUCAUGUUAAUUUAUAAAUUUCUACCUUGUCCUUCUUAACAGCUGUUUAGUAUUCCAAUGUAUGGAUAUACCAUAAUUUAUUAAACCAGUCUCCUACUGAUGGGUGUUUAGGUUGUUCCCAAUUUACUGCUAUCAUAAUAAACAGUGUUGCAGUAAACAUCAUUGAACAUACAUCUUUGUAUACGAGU